ACUAUCCUGCCUUGUACGUUAGUUUAGCUUUUGCUCAACCACAAGUCAUAAAAGGGAGCAAGCGUCCGACUUUUGAUGUCAGGCCACGUUGCAUUUGCAAGACUGCUUCGGCACUCCAGUGGAAAACAGAGAAAAGUUGGCAUUGUUUAACCCAUCCUGUUACAAACAGGUUGAUGUCCGCUAAACGACGGCAAAGGCGGGAUAUUU
Molecule: non-coding RNA, 207 nt
Filed under: Clostridia bacterium
Lineage: Bacteria; Bacillati; Bacillota; Clostridia
Description: 6S RNA
Rfam family: 6S / SsrS RNA
About the family: E. coli 6S RNA was the first non coding RNA to be sequenced, but its function was unknown until recently.
Source: RNAcentral